RNAcentral lists this unclassified non-coding RNA (272 nucleotides) under Hevea brasiliensis (rubber tree). The record is from RNAcentral. Lineage: Eukaryota; Viridiplantae; Streptophyta; Magnoliopsida; Malpighiales; Euphorbiaceae.
AUACAACAUAUUGCCGUUGACUACACCUACCAAUGGCAGUGCUGACUGACUGGGGCUCCAAAAAACAGGAACACAUAAAGCAGUGAAGAUCACUGCACAUGCUAUUUUAGCGCUACAGUUGACUUUGCCUGCAACUGGAAACUAUCAUCUCUAAUCACCAGUGAUUAUCAUCCAAGGCCAUCAAUCAAUCCUUCCAAUUCUCUCCUCCCGAACCUCCUUCCUUCAGAAUGAGCUUCUUUACACCUUGCAGCAAAGUAAAAUAUCAACCAAGC